This is a long non-coding RNA of Papio anubis (olive baboon), 1822 nucleotides long. The record is from Ensembl. Lineage: Eukaryota; Metazoa; Chordata; Mammalia; Primates; Cercopithecidae.
ACAGCUGCUUUGCCUCAGGCAUAAAUCAGAAGAGGAAAACCAGCUUCUGGACCCGGAGGGAGGAUGAAACGGAAUAGGAAUUGAGGGAAGUGGAAGGGAAGACUAAGGGACCCCUGGAGAGUCCCUACUAAGCCAGACAUGACAAACAAAAGUCCUCUGCUACUGGGGAAGACAGAACAGAGAAGCCAGCAGGGGAAGAAAAAGAUGAUGCUGUUCUUGAUGCCUCAAAAACGGCAAGGGAGAACCCAGGCAACUGAUAUACACACCCUUGGAACAAAUCUACCCCAGAAGUACAAGACACACACUUCAAAUUCAUGGAAUAAAUGGGAGCUCCUGGCCACAGUGGGAGCCAUGAUCUCUCUCCUUUAUACAUGGCUGUAUUCCCAGAGCUUUCAUUUCCAUGUGGCACAUUUUUAUGCUCAUUUUGGGUAAAGAUACCUGAAAGGUAAGGUAACUUUGUUUCUCUGGUGCUAUUCCACUGGGGGAAAAGAGGUGGGGAGAGGUUUGCUGGUUAGAGUUCUAAAACUAAUGGCAAAAACAUUUUGCCAAUUAACUUUGCACCAACCCGAUAUAUCUGUAGACUUUUAAGUCUUAGCAUUCAGCAGUAAACUGAGUCCAUUUUUAAAAAUAUAAUACCUUUUGUUUACCUAGGAGCUGGUGUAGUGAAGGAUGAAGAGAAGGCAAUGCAAUGGUUUAGGUAAGAUGAUGACAUCUGCCAAAAAGCAGAACUCCAGAGUUACCUGUUCAGAAAGUACAGGUGGAGCAUCCCUUAUCCGAGCUGCUUGAGACCAGAAGUGUUUUGGAUCUUGGAUUUUUUUUUUUUUUGAAAUAUUUGUAUUAUACUAACUGGUUGAGCAUCUCUAACCUGAAAAUCCAGAAUCUGAAAUGCUCCAGUGAGAUUUUUCUUUGAGUGUCAUGUUGAUACUCCAAAAGUUUCAGAUUUUGGAGCAUUUCAGAUUUCAGAUUUUCUGUUUAGGGAUGCUCAACCUAUGCUUAAAUAGAAAACCUUAUGAUUUUGGUGCUUUUUCCCUAGAGCAAAAAUAAGCUAGAGAUCUAAAAUCUCUUAAUAUUAAAGUCUUGCUACCCUCUUUACUUUUUCCACUUGGUGAUGAGGUAGGAGUACUGGUGGGGCUGUUGAGAGGGUGGGGCCAGUGCAUUUUAAAACAGUCUACACAAUGUAAGCAAACAGCAGAUUAGAUUCAAAAGAGUCGAAGUGGGGAAUGUGGACCAAUCUAGGUCAAUAUUCAGGAUGUCAAUAAAUUUAUUAACAAUGCUCUGUGUUAACAUUACUUUGGUUAUUAAGGUUUUGAGCUCUUGACUAUAAAACAUACACUAAUUUGAAAUUUACAAACUGGGCUAUGUGUUAGAAUCACCUGGAAAACUUCUGAAAAAUACUGAAGCCCAGUUCCAGAUUGAUUUAAAUGAGCAGAAAAAGUUCCCUAGAAGAGUGUAAUAUGCUGCCAGCUCAAACUACUCCAGAAGUCUAUAAUGGUUAAUAAAGUAAACAUGAACCAGCAGAAGAAGGCAUUUCAGGAACAUAGUCUAAAGCUUAAAAUCGAUAUUCUGAUAAAGUUCACCUGACAACAGAAGAAACACCUUUGAGAAUCAGGAAGGGAGUGACAUGGUUCCAAAGUGGCAAAGUGUCAUUGGUGAUUAACUGCACUUGACUGAAGCUCUUGCCACUGGGAGUAUAGUCCAUACACCCACAGCAUUGGCAUCGCCAGGUGGGUACUUGGUAGGAAUGCUGCCUCUGAGGCCCUAAUGCAGACCCACUGAAGUAGAAUCUUCAUUUUGAUAAGAUCCUGGGGUGACUGAUAUGCAC